GGAGCGCCUCUCCCUGGCAGCAGCCAUUGGCUCCAGGCUCCAGCUUUCUUCGGGACCUUGAACUGGGGUCGUCAUAUGCCUCAAGAGGGAAGAAUCCAAUUUGGCUUUCGGGGAUGAUGUUGUAAUUGGUCAGAGAACUGAGGAUCCGAAUUGAGGCUGAAGGCUGGAGGAAGUGGGCAGUCCGGGCUCCAGAGGUUUCCAUCCGGGCCAUCCCGCCCCACCUGUAUCACAGGACGUCUGGUUGAUGGAGUGGAUGAAUACUGCUUUUGAGGGGUCACCAGUUACCUGCAUAGAAGCUUCGCAAAUCGGUGUCCAAACAGUUCUCCAGGAAGCGCCUCAGAGGUAAGAUGUGCCCCACCGGGGCGGUCCAGUCCGUCAAGAAGUCUUCCACGAUGUGGUGGAUGGCUGUGGGCCGAGGCAGCGCCCAGUUGGCAGGGCGGAAUCUCACCUC
Long non-coding RNA from Suricata suricatta (meerkat), 451 nucleotides. RefSeq lists it as uncharacterized. Lineage: Eukaryota; Metazoa; Chordata; Mammalia; Carnivora; Herpestidae. The transcript has 3 exons. The record is from RefSeq and is a predicted model, not a curated record.